This 440-nucleotide ribosomal RNA is filed under the name uncultured bacterium. Its description in RNAcentral is "partial 16S ribosomal RNA". It matches the Rfam family "Bacterial small subunit ribosomal RNA", at positions 338 to 795 of the family's 1533-position model. The record is from RNAcentral.
CCUACGGGAGACAGCAGUGGGGAAUAUUGCACAAUGGGGGGAACCCUGAUGCAGCAAUGUCGCGUGGGUGAAGAAGCACUUCGGUGCGUAAAGCCCUGUCAGCAGGGAAGAAAAUGACAGUACCUGGGCAAGAAGCCCCGGCUAACUACGUGCCAGCAGCCGCGGUAUUACGGAGGGGGCAAGCGUUAUCCGGAUUUACUGGGUGGAAAGGGGGCGCAGGCGGCGUGGCAAGUCAGAUGUGAAAACCCGGGGCCCAACCCCGGGAGUGCAUUUGAAACUGCCAUGCUGGAGUGCCGGAGAGGUAAGCGGAAUGCCUAGUGUAGCGGUGAAAUGCGUAGAUAUCACGCAGAACUCCGAUUGCGAAGGCAGCGUACCGGCGCCCAACUGACGCUGAAGCACGAAGGCGUGGGUAUCGAACAGGAUUAGAUACCCGAGUAGUC